UUCCGGUUGAUCCUGCCAGAGGCUACUGCUAUCGGGGUUCGAUUAAGCCAUGCGAGUUAAAUGUUCUUCGUGAACAUAGCGAACUGCUCAGUAACACGUGGAUAACCUACCCUUGGGACCGGAAUAACCCCGGGAAACUGGGGAUAAUACCGGAUAAGCCAUAGACGCUGGAAUGCCCUAUGGUUCAAAGCUCCGGCGCCCAAGGAUGGAUCUGCGGUCUAUCAGGUUGUAGUGGGUGUAACGUACCUACUAGCCUACGACGGAUACGGGUUGUGAGAGCAAGAGCCCGGAGAUGGAUUCUGAGACACGAAUCCAGGCCCUACGGGGUGCAGCAGGCGCGAACACUUUACAAUGCGGGAAACCGCGAUAAGGGAACCCCGAGUGCCAGCAUCAAAUGUUGGCUGUCCAGAUGGUUAAAAAUCAUUUGUUAGCAAGGGCCGGGCAAGACCGGUGCCAGCCGCCGCGGUAACACCGGCGGCCCGAGUGGUAGCCGUUUUUAUUGGGUCUAAAGGGUCCGUAGCCGGCUUGAUAAGUCCUUUGGGAAAUCUGACAGCUUAACUGUCAGGCUUCUAAGGGAUACUGUCAGGCUUGGGACCGGAAGAGGUAAGGGGUACUCCAGGGGUAGGAGUGAAAUCUUGUAAUCCCUGGGGGACCAUCUGUGGCGAAGGCGCCUUACCAGAACGGGUCCGACGGUGAGGGACGAAAGCUAGGGGAGCAAACCGGAUUAGAUACCCGGGUAGUCCUAGCUGUAAACGAUGCUCGCUAGGUGUCAGACACGGUGCGACCGUGUUUGGUGCCGCAGGGAAGCCGUUAAGCGAGCCACCUGGGAAGUACGGUCGCAAGGCUGAAACUUAAAGGAAUUGGCGGGGGAGCACUACAACGGGUGGAGCCUGCGGUUUAAUUGGAUUCAACGCCGGGA
This 919-nucleotide ribosomal RNA is filed under the name uncultured archaeon. RNAcentral describes it as "bacterial SSU rRNA". It matches the Rfam family "Archaeal small subunit ribosomal RNA", at positions 1 to 923 of the family's 1478-position model. The record is from RNAcentral.